AAGGAUCAUUACCGAGUUUUUGUUUUUUCUUAAACAAACUCCCACCCAAUGUUUACAACAGUUGACAAACUUAGCUUUGGCGGGACAUUUUCUGUAAAAAGGAAAUGGCCGGUUGAAAGACGGGUCUGUGCCUGCCAAAGUAUUUACACAAACUGUCUCUUGUAGUCUGAUCAAGCGAAAAUAAAUCAAAACUUUCAACAACGGAUCUCUUGGUUCUGGCAUCGAUGAAGAACGCAGCGAAAUGCGAUAAGUAAUGUGAAUUGCAGAAUUCAGUGAAUCAUCGAAUCUUUGAACGCACAUUGCGCCUCUUGGUAUUCCUUGAGGCAUGCCUGUUCGAGCGUCGUUUAGACCAUAAGGCUUUGCCUUGCGUUGAGCUUAUUUGGACGUCAGUUCAAAAGCUCCAAACAGAUUGGCGUCUGACUUUGGCCACAAACACAGCGAUAUGUGAUUUUGGAGCCUAAGCGACAGACUGCUUUGUUUUUCAUAAAAGGUCGACCUCGGAUCAAGCAAGACUACCCGCUGAACUUAA
This 529-nucleotide ribosomal RNA is filed under the name Triscelophorus sp. 1 SD-2014. RNAcentral describes it as "eukaryotic LSU rRNA". The stretch from base 190 to 343 matches the Rfam family "5.8S ribosomal RNA". Lineage: Eukaryota; Fungi; Ascomycota; Dothideomycetes. The record is from RNAcentral.